Molecule: ribosomal RNA, 305 nt
Filed under: uncultured bacterium
Lineage: Bacteria
Description: partial 16S ribosomal RNA
Rfam family: Bacterial small subunit ribosomal RNA
Source: RNAcentral
CCUGUCCUACGGGGGGCAGCAGUGGGGGAUAUUGCACAAUGGGGGGAACCCUGAUGCAGCGACGCCGCGUGGGCGAUGGAGCGCCUCGGCGCGUAAAGCCCUAUCAGCAGGGAAGAAGAUGACGGUACCUGACUAAGAAGCCCCGGCUAACUACGUGCCAGCAGCCGCGGUAAUACGUAGGGGGCAAGCGUUAUCCGGAUUUACUGGGUGUAAAGGGAGCGUAGACGGCAAUGCAAGUCUGGAGUGAAAGGCGGGGGCCCAACCCCCGGACUGCUCUGGAAACUGUAUAGCUGGAGGGCAGGAGA